AACAAACGCUGGCGGCGUGCCUAACACAUGCAAGUCGAGCGCGAAUGGAGCAAUCCUAGUAGAGCGGCGCACGGGUGCGUAACACGUGGGUAAUCUGCCCUGGAGCUCGGGAUAACCUGCCGAAAGGCAAGCUAAUACCGGAUAAGCCUACGGCCCCCUCGGGGGCUGAAGGAAAAGGUGGCCUCUGCACGCAAGCUAUC
This 200-nucleotide ribosomal RNA is filed under the name uncultured bacterium. Its description in RNAcentral is "partial 16S ribosomal RNA". It matches the Rfam family "Bacterial small subunit ribosomal RNA", at positions 29 to 216 of the family's 1533-position model. The record is from RNAcentral.